Molecule: transfer RNA, 71 nt
Filed under: Pseudomyrmex flavicornis
Lineage: Eukaryota; Metazoa; Arthropoda; Insecta; Hymenoptera; Formicidae
Description: tRNA-Ser
Source: RNAcentral
AGUUAAUGAUCUUGAGAAAUAAGUUUACGUUUUGAAAACAUAAGAAAGAAAUUUUAAUUUUCUAUUAACUU